Molecule: unclassified non-coding RNA, 336 nt
Filed under: soil metagenome
Description: partial contains 5.8S ribosomal RNA, internal transcribed spacer 2, and large subunit ribosomal RNA
Rfam family: 5.8S ribosomal RNA (bases 1-120)
Source: RNAcentral
GAUGAAGAACGUAGCGAAAUGCGAUAAGUAGUGUGAAUUGCAGAAUUCAGUGAAUCAUCGAAUCUUUGAACGCACAUUGCGCCCGCCAGUAUUCUGGCGGGCAUGCCUGUUCGAGCGUCAUUUCAAUCAUCAAGCCCCAGGCUUGUGUUGGGGACCUGCGGCUGCCGCAGGCCCUGAAAACCAGUGGCGGGCUCGCUGUCACACCGGGCGUAGUAGAUUUUAUCUCGCUCAGGGCGUGCUGCGGGUUCCGGCCGUUAAAAAGCCUUUUUUACCCAAGGUUGACCUCGGAUCAGGUAGGAAUACCCGCUGAACUUAAGCAUAUCAAUAAGCGGAGGA